UGCCCACAUAAACAGUGCUCAUCACUCUACCCAUAAUCUUGACUCUCUAUGCAUGGCCAAACACUCCAGUGAGUCUCAGGGCAUACACAACCCUCCGGACCAAACCUUACUUGCAAAACACACGUGGAAGACAAUGGCAGCACGUAUGGCCACAUAUAUAUUAUAGUAUAUUCAACUGUACAUGUAGUUUGCAUCUGUAUUUAGUCGGCUAAGUAUUUUAGAAAAAGUGGAUUCUGAGAAUAAAUUGACAGCAGGUGACAGUAGUUGUACCUUGCAAACCUUGACUGAGGUUCUAUGCAUAUUGGCCAGCCUGAGAUAAGGGGGCUUUCUAUAGUGGGCUAUACCACAACACCCAUAUAAACUGCCUGACCUCGCCGUGCACCGAACAGAGACCCAACCUGAAGCCAACACAUUCUCUCUCCGCGGCACAGAUUUCCCCCAACACUGCAGCAUGAGCUUAACCGCUCCGCCACCGUCUCUUUCCGUGAAGGAUUACCACGCAAAGAGCUGUGGGAAAACCAUUUAGAACAAACACACUCAUUCACUCACUGAUGACACACAUAAUAUGAACACAAAGAGCUUAAAUAGUGAGUGUACAGCUAUGGUAAUGAAAUAUUAAAUAAUCUUUUCCUCUUCUCUUCCAUAUGUCAGGAGAGUAGAUAUGACGUGGAGCUCAAUAUCUACCCUUUAAUGGUUUAUUGUAAAUGACUAUGGUGCUUACAUAAGAGAAUGAGCUUAUCAGCAUUAUAAGGUAAUUCUGCUAUAUAUCAGCUCGAUAAGGCCUUUACUGCACAGGUGAAGUAAGGGAGCGUUACAGAGGUGGAACAGUCUGACAUAAAAGCAGUUAAAGAUAAGGGCCCUAUUUUCGGUAAUCCAAACACAUGCCACUAUUGUAUUUCACUGUACUGCUUUAAAUAAACGGCGCUUGGGUCAAAAGCUGCCAGAGCCCCUCAAUGCGAAGGAAUGUAUUGAUUCCUGGGAAAGUGAUAGCUAAAGAGUGCCCUAGCGUCCCAUACAGACCAAGUCAGUCAAUGUACACAUCAUACAGAUUACAUAGACGUGAAUUUAAACUUGAUGUAGCCCGUGAAGCACAUGAGGUGGAAAUGUUCCAGACAGUGAAUGGAAGUCACACUGCUGUCAAAACAAUUGGUGUCAUUAUCUUAUCUUAAUAAACGUUUAUUGUCCCCUAUCUGGGGCUGGCCAACCUCCCUCUUGAACGGUCUGCUCCUCAAAGGACACAACGCCCCAAUUGGUCCAGACUCCAGGAGACUAUGGCAUGAUUAAUCAGCUAGGCUUGAUAAAGACGGAAGCAAACACGGAGCAGCUCCAGGAGAAGAGAUGGUCACCAAUGACUUCAUGGUGACGUGCACGGUUGUUUCAAAGGCCACUUCCAAAGGCGCAGACUUUGUUGUGACUACUCUUCAGGCGAACCGCAGAGCGUUGGAGAGCCACUGAAGAGCUGCACUGAAGAGCCAUUGAACACAACCAAACUAAACUGUGAAGGGCAACAACCGAAAUGUCCAUAGUACUACAAAAGGUAAAAUGCAAUGAAAUGCUGAUUUAAGACAGUUAGUCAGGGUACAGUUGCCAUGAAGUGAAGAGUAAUGAAAACACUUUUGAACAGCAUUCUUGAUCUUGAAUAAGCAACUGACCCAUCCCAUUUUAAAAUGAAGGACCCUUUAACGUGGACCUGCAUGCCAGAGCAACAAAAGGUGUCAUGGUUUACAUGUGGUAAUGGAGAUAAAUGAAACAUUUAAUACCCAUCCGUCACACUAACACACUCAAUAGGCCACAACAUAGCCCUGGUGUUCAUUCAUUACAAACCCCUGUUUAUGAGUUCCUGAGGUUAAUGGUGCUCAACAUCCACCUUUCACUCUAUUGAUCGUGACCUCUGCUCAGUCCUCAUUAGUUAAAGACCCAUUACAAUAAUUUGAACGGAUUCUCUCUGAAGAUCAUGUGAAGUUACAGUUGGAACGAGUGUUAAGAUAGUAAGGGGAAUUUCUAAGGGCGAAACCUCAAGCUGCAGACAAAGUCCUCAGACUACAAAUGCAAUCCUGAGCCAAAAGUGUGUUAUGGGCAGAGGUGUAAAGUAACGAAUUACAUUUACUCACGUUACUGUAAUUGAGUAGUUUUUUUGUGUACUUUGUAAUUUUUAAGUAGUUUUUGAAAUCAGUAAUUUUACUUUUACUUAAGUAGAUUUUGACUGAAGUAUUGUACUUCGUUACAUUGGAAAUUACAUCCGUUACUGAGUAAAAAAAAAAACAUAGUUCAAGGCAGGAAACCAAAAGGCGUGAAUCCCGCACUACAAUUCUCACUGCAGUGGUGGAUGCUGCAUAGAGUGGAUGAUGGAGUCAAUGCAAGCCGCCGGUUCCGAGUCACGAAAGAUAGAGGGAGGAAGAUGAUAGUGAGGACUACCAACAAGCUACGGACGACCAACAAGCUGAAGCACCGAACUUUCCACCAGUUGAAAUUAAAGAAAAUGAAGAAAACUCGUGGCCACAUCUCAGCAAGCAGUUUGCCUUCCAACGUAAAAGAGGCAACAGCUAUAUAAUGCUGUUAGCCGCAAGACUGAAUAGAAUACUGUAUGUCUGCUCCAUUAAUAUUUGUCUUUCCUGUUCUUUUUCUCUUGUUCUCUGUCUCUCUCUCUCUGUUCUCUGUCUCUUUCUCAUGUCACCAGUGCCCCUAAGCAAUCCCUCAAGCCAAUGCCUCGCUUUAUCAACCAGCGGAUUUAACAAGACAGCUCUUUUCAUGCUUGCUGGCUCCU
Long non-coding RNA from Clupea harengus (Atlantic herring), 2764 nucleotides. The record is from Ensembl. NCBI's taxonomy places the organism in Eukaryota, Metazoa, Chordata, Actinopteri, Clupeiformes, Clupeidae.